RNAcentral lists this microRNA (22 nucleotides) under Pristionchus pacificus. RNAcentral's name for it is "ppc-miR-8280-5p". Lineage: Eukaryota; Metazoa; Nematoda; Chromadorea; Rhabditida; Neodiplogasteridae. The record is from miRBase by way of RNAcentral.
AACCCGAUCCAACUUGAUCGUU